UUGAAAGUUACAUGGAUAACCGUGGCAAUUCUACAGCUAAUACAUGCUUCAAAACCUGACUUCGGAAGGGUUGUAUUUAUUAGAUAUUAAACCAUCCCCUCGGGGCUGUGAUGAAUCAUAAUAACUGAUCGAAUCGAGGUUCGCCUUGAUAAAUCAUUCAAGUUUCUGCCCUAUCAGCUGUAGAUGGUAGUGUAUUGGACUACCAUGGCUAUUACGGGUAACGGAGAAUUAGGGUUCGAUUCCGGAGAGGGAGCCUGAGAAACGGCUACCACAUCUACGGAUGGCAGCAGGCGCGAAAAUUGCCCAAUCCCGAUUCGGGGAGGCAGUGACAAGAAAUAACAACCCAGAACAUUGUUUCCGGGAUUGCAAUGAGAACAAUUUAAAAACCUUAUCGAGUACCAACUGGAGGGCAAGUUCUGGUGCCAGCAGCCGCGGUAAUUCCAGCUCCAGUAGCGUAUAUUAAAGUUGCUGCAGUUAAAAAAGCUCGUAGUUGAAUUUCUGUUUGUAAGAGUCGAAGCUUU
Molecule: ribosomal RNA, 521 nt
Filed under: uncultured eukaryote
Lineage: Eukaryota
Description: SSU rRNA
Rfam family: Eukaryotic small subunit ribosomal RNA
Source: RNAcentral